GAUGAACGCUGGCGGCGUGCCUAAUACAUGCAAGUCGAGCGAACAGACGAGGAGCUUGCUCCUCUGACGUUAGCGGCGGACGGGUGAGUAACACGUGGAUAACCUACCUAUAAGACUGGGAUAACUUCGGGAAACCGGAGCUAAUACCGGAUAAUAUAUUGAACCGCAUGGUUCAAUAGUGAAAGACGGUUUUGCUGUCACUUAUAGAUGGAUCCGCGCCGCAUUAGCUAGUUGGUAAGGUAACGGCGUACCAAGGCAACGAUGCGUAGCCGACCGGAGAGGGUGAUCGGCCACACUGGAACUGAGACACGGUCCAGACUCCUACGGGAGGCAGCAGUAGGGAAUCGUCCGCAAUGGGCGAAAGCCUGACGGAGCAACGCCGCGUGAGUGAUGAAGGUCUUCGGAUCGUAAAACUCUGUUAUUAGGGAAGAACAAAUGUUUAAGUAACUAUGCACGUCUGGACGGUACCUAAUCAGAAAGCCACGGCUAACUACGUG
This 497-nucleotide ribosomal RNA is filed under the name uncultured bacterium. RNAcentral describes it as "partial 16S ribosomal RNA". It matches the Rfam family "Bacterial small subunit ribosomal RNA", at positions 28 to 507 of the family's 1533-position model. The record is from RNAcentral.